Molecule: small nucleolar RNA, 107 nt
Organism: Gastrolobium bilobum
Lineage: Eukaryota; Viridiplantae; Streptophyta; Magnoliopsida; Fabales; Fabaceae
Source: RefSeq, a predicted model, not a curated record
AUUCCAUGUUGAGGACACUUCCUAAGUGAUCAUUUGAAUCAUUCCUAUGCCUCGUACAAAGAUUCGCUUUAUUUUUGUUCAAAAGCUGUGAUCUCCGCCUUGAGUCU